UACGUAGGGUGCGAGCGUUGUCCGGAUUUAUUGGGCGUAAAGAGCUCGUAGGCGGUUUGUCGCGGCGGCCGUGAAAUCUCCACGCUUAACGUGGAGCGUGCGGUCGAUACGGGCAGACUUGAGUUCGGUAGGGGAGACUGGAAUUCCUGGUGUAGCGGUGAAAUGCGCAGAUAUCUGGAGGAACACCGGUGGCGAAGGCGGCAUCCUGGACCAACACUGACGCUGAGUGAGCGAAAGCCAGGGGAGCAAACGGG
RNAcentral lists this ribosomal RNA (254 nucleotides) under uncultured bacterium. RNAcentral describes it as "partial 16S ribosomal RNA". It matches the Rfam family "Bacterial small subunit ribosomal RNA", at positions 524 to 776 of the family's 1533-position model. The record is from RNAcentral.